AGAGUUUGAUCCUGGCUCAGAACGAACGCUGGCGGCAGGCCUAACACAUGCAAGUCGAGCGAAGCCUUCGGGCUUAGUGGCGAACGGGUGAGUAACGCGUGGGAACCUGCCCCCGAGUGGGGAACAACUGCUGGAAACGGCAGCUAAUACCGCAUACGCCUCUUCGGAGGGAAAGCUUUAUGCGCUCAGGGAGGGUCCCGCGUCCGAUUAGCUAGUUGGAGGGGUAACGGCCCACCAAGGCGACGAUCCGUAGCUGGUCUGAGAGGAUGAUCAGCCACACUGGGACUGAGACACGGCCCAGACUCCUACGGGAGGCAUCAGUGGGGAAUAUUGGACAAGGGGGGCAACCCUGAUCCAGCCAUGCCGCCGUGUGUGAAGAAGGCCUUAGGGUUGUAAAGCACUUUCAGUAGGGAGGAAAAGUUAGUCGUUAAUAUCGGCUAACCCUGACGUUACCUACAGAAGAAGCACCGGCAAACUCCGUGCCAGCAGCUGCGGUAAUACGGAGGGUGUAAGCGUUAAUCGGAAUUACUGGGCGUAAAGCGCGCGUAGGCGGUUUGCUAAGCCAGAUGUGAAAGCCCCGGGCUCAACCUGGGAACUGCAUUUGGAACUGGCAGGCUAGAGUACGGUAGAGGGUGGUAGAAUUUCCUGUGUAGCGGUGAAAUGCGUAGAUAUAGGAAGGAAUACCAGUGGCGAAGGCGGCCACCUGGACUGAUACUGACGCUGAGGUGCGAAAGCGUGGGGAGCGAACAGGAUUAGAUACCCUGGUAGUCCACGCCGUAAACGAUGUCAACUAGCCGUAGGGAUCCUUGAGGUCUUUGUGGCCAGCUAACGCAAUAAGUUGACCGCCUGGGGAGUACGGCCGCAAGGUUAAAACUCAAAUGAAUUGACGGGGGCCCGCACAAGCGGUGGAGCAUGUGGUUUAAUUCGAUGCAACGCGAAGAACCUUACCUGGUCUUGACAUCCUACGAACUUACUAGAGAUAGUUUGGUGCCUUCGGGAACGUAGUGACAGGUGCUGCAUGGCUGUCGUCAGCUCGUGUCGUGAGAUGUUGGGUUAAGUCCCGUAACGAGCGCAACCCUUAUCCUUAUUUGCCAGCACGUAAUGGUGGGAACUCUAGGGAGACUGCCGGUGAUAAACCGGAGGAAGGUGGGGACGACGUCAAGUCAUCAUGGCCCUUAUGGGUAGGGCUACACACGUGCUACAAUGGUCGGUACAGAGGGCUGCAAACUCGCGAGAGUAAGCUAAUCUCAGAAAGCCGAUCCUAGUCCGGAUUGGAGUCUGCAACUCGACUCCAUGAAGUUGGAAUCGCUAGUAAUCGUAGAUCAGAAUGCUACGGUGAAUACGUUCCCGGGCCUUGUACACACCGCCCGUCACACCAUGGGAGUGGGUUGCAAAAGAAGUGGGUAGACUAACCUUCGGGAGGUCGCUCACCACUUUGUGAUUCAUGACUGGGGUGAAGUCGUAACAAGGUAGCC
This 1475-nucleotide ribosomal RNA is filed under the name uncultured prokaryote. Its description in RNAcentral is "partial 16S ribosomal RNA". It matches the Rfam family "Bacterial small subunit ribosomal RNA". The record is from RNAcentral.